Molecule: long non-coding RNA, 332 nt
Organism: Oncorhynchus tshawytscha (Chinook salmon)
Lineage: Eukaryota; Metazoa; Chordata; Actinopteri; Salmoniformes; Salmonidae
Exons: 2
Source: RefSeq, a predicted model, not a curated record
ACCCCUACAAACCAACGUGCCACACAAAAGCCAAAGUGAGCUACACAUUUGACAUUUUGCCAUGGUGGGAUGUUGCUGGUCUUUCCCGGGGAGGGAAGUCAAUGGGUUAACAUGGACAUUCUGAUCAAGGCUCUUCACUCUCAGGGACACACAGUCAGAGUGGUACCUAACAACAAAAAGUUGGUACAUCAAACAAGAGUUGUCCUACUACAGUUCUUUUACAAUACCUGUCACUGAUGAUAUGGAUGAGGAAUUUGUAAAGCCAAUCAUAAAGAAAGUAAUUGAUAUAGAGGGAGGAACAAUCUUUGUAUUAAACGUUAUGCAUUUGCAAA